Molecule: ribosomal RNA, 465 nt
Filed under: uncultured bacterium
Lineage: Bacteria
Description: bacterial SSU rRNA
Rfam family: Bacterial small subunit ribosomal RNA
Source: RNAcentral
UCCUACGGGACGCAGCAGUGGGGAAUAUUGGGCAAUGGGCGAAAGCCUGACCCAGCCACGCCGCGUGAGUGAUGAAGGCCUUCGGGUCGUAAAGCUCUGUGGGGAGGGACGAACAAGCAGGCACCAAAUAAGUGCAGGCCCUGACGGUACCUCCUUAGCAAGCACCGGCUAACCAUGUGCCAGCAGCCGCGGUAAUACAUGGGGUGCAAACGUUGCUCGGAAUUAUUGGGCGUAAAGCGCGCGUAGGCGGUCGCUUAAGUCGGAUGUGAAAGCCCUCGGCUUAACUGAGGAAGUGCAUCCGAGACUGAAUGGCUAGAGUACGAAAGAGGGUCGCGGAAUUCCCGGUGUAGAGGUGAAAUUCGUAGAUAUCGGGAGGAACACCGGCGGCGAAGGCGGCGACCUGGUUCGAGACUGACGCUGAGGCGCGAAAGCGUGGGGAGCAAACAGGAUUAGAUACCCCCGUAC